CUUAGCACUUAGUUGACUCACUUCAGUCGAAAGCGAUAAACAUGAAAUUCAUUUUUUUUGUCUACCUUCUGAUUCCUACUUUUAGUUCGGUCAUGGGGAAAUCGGAGUAUAAAUGCAGGCUUCCAAGAGGAACGGGGCUUUGCUUGAAACUGAAUCAUACUUUCGCUUACAAUCCAGUUACCAAAAAGUGCAUUAAAUUUGCAUAUGGUGGCUGUGGUGGCAUCGGAGAUCAUUUUGAUUCUAUACAAGCCUGUGAAUCCGCAUGCAAAGGAAAAUAAGUGUACCUGGUUGAACUAAAAUUUACGCAAAAAUAUUUUAUUUGAUUUUAAUUAUACAUUAUCAGAUCCAAAUAUAAAAUCAAAGAAAAAUCA
Drosophila subpulchrella is the source of this 371-nucleotide long non-coding RNA. RefSeq lists it as uncharacterized. Lineage: Eukaryota; Metazoa; Arthropoda; Insecta; Diptera; Drosophilidae. The record is from RefSeq and is a predicted model, not a curated record. The transcript is spliced from 2 exons.